GCUGGCGGCGUGCCUAAUACAUGCAAGUCGAACGAACUCUGGUAUUGAUUGGUGCUUGCAUCAUGAUUUACAUUUGAGUGAGUGGCGAACUGGUGAGUAACACGUGGGAAACCUGCCCAGAAGCGGGGGAUAACACCUGGAAACAGAUGCUAAUACCGCAUAACAACUUGGACCGCAUGGUCCGAGCUUGAAAGAUGGCUUCGGCUAUCACUUUUGGAUGGUCCCGCGGCGUAUUAGCUAGAUGGUGGGGUAACGGCUCACCAUGGCAAUGAUACGUAGCCGACCUGAGAGGGUAAUCGGCCACAUUGGGACUGAGACACGGCCCAAACUCCUACGGGAGGCAGCAGUAGGGAAUCUUCCACAAUGGACGAAAGUCUGAUGGAGCAACGCCGCGUGAGUGAAGAAGGGUUUCGGCUCGUAAAACUCUGUUGUUAAAGAAGAACAUAUCUGAGAGUAACUGUUCAGGUAUUGACGGUAUUUAACCAGAAAGCCACGGCUAACUACGUGCCAGCAGCCGCGGUAAUACGUAGGUGGCAAGCGUUGUCCGGAUUUAUUGGGCGUAAAGCGAGCGCAGGCGGUUUUUUAAGUCUGAUGUGAAAGCCUUCGGCUCAACCGAAGAAGUGCAUCGGAAACUGGGAAACUUGAGUGCAGAAGAGGACAGUGGAACUCCAUGUGUAGCGGUGAAAUGCGUAGAUAUAUGGAAGAACACCAGUGGCGAAGGCGGCUGUCUGGUCUGUAACUGACGCUGAGGCUCGAAAGUAUGGGUAGCAAACAGGAUUAGAUACCCUGGUAGUCCAUACCGUAAACGAUGAAUGCUAAGUGUUGGAGGGUUUCCGCCCUUCAGUGCUGCAGCUAACGCAUUAAGCAUUCCGCCUGGGGAGUACGGCCGCAAGGCUGAAACUCAAAGGAAUUGACGGGGGCCCGCACAAGCGGUGGAGCAUGUGGUUUAAUUCGAAGCUACGCGAAGAACCUUACCAGGUCUUGACAUACUAUGCAAAUCUAAGAGAUUAGACGUUCCCUUCGGGGACAUGGAUACAGGUGGUGCAUGGUUGUCGUCAGCUCGUGUCGUGAGAUGUUGGGUUAAGUCCCGCAACGAGCGCAACCCUUAUUAUCAGUUGCCAGCAUUAAGUUGGGCACUCUGGUGAGACUGCCGGUGACAAACCGGAGGAAGGUGGGGAUGACGUCAAAUCAUCAUGCCCCUUAUGACCUGGGCUACACACGUGCUACAAUGGAUGGUACAACGAGUUGCGAACUCGCGAGAGUAAGCUAAUCUCUUAAAGCCAUUCUCAGUUCGGAUUGUAGGCUGCAACUCGCCUACAUGAAGUCGGAAUCGCUAGUAAUCGCGGAUCAGCAUGCCGCGGUGAAUACGUUCCCGGGCCUUGUACACACCGCCCGUCACACCAUGAGAGUUUGUAACACCCAAAGUCGGUGGGGUAACCUUUUAGGAACCAGCCGCCUAAGGUGGGACAGAUGAUUAGGGUGAAGU
Molecule: ribosomal RNA, 1486 nt
Filed under: Lactiplantibacillus plantarum
Lineage: Bacteria; Bacillati; Bacillota; Bacilli; Lactobacillales; Lactobacillaceae
Description: Lactobacillus plantarum 16S ribosomal RNA
Rfam family: Bacterial small subunit ribosomal RNA
Source: RNAcentral